GACGAACGCUGGCGGCGUGCUUAACACAUGCAAGUCGAACGGAAAGGCCCUGCUUUUGUGGGGUGCUCGAGUGGCGAACGGGUGAGUAACACGUGCGUAACCUGCCCUUGACUUUGGGAUAACUUCAGGAAACUGGGGCUAAUACCGGAUAGGAGCUCCUGCUGCAUGGUGGGGGUUGGAAAGUUUCGGCGGUUGGGGAUGGACUCGCGGCUUAUCAGCUUGUUGGUGGGGUAGUGGCUUACCAAGGCUUUGACGGGUAGCCGGCCUGAGAGGGUGACCGGCGACGAUGGGACGGAGAUACGACCCAAACUCCUGCGGAGGGCAGCAGUGGGGAAUAUUGCACAAUGGGCGGAAGACGUAGGCAGCAACGCCGCGUGCGGGAUGACGGCCUUCGGGUGGUAAACCGCUUUCGCCUGUGACGAAGCGUGAGUGACGGUAAUGGGUGAAUAAGCACCGGCUAACUACGUG
RNAcentral lists this ribosomal RNA (468 nucleotides) under uncultured bacterium. RNAcentral's name for it is "partial 16S ribosomal RNA". It matches the Rfam family "Bacterial small subunit ribosomal RNA", at positions 28 to 507 of the family's 1533-position model. The record is from RNAcentral.